UGUGACCACACCAUGCUCACUGAUGGUCUU
RNAcentral lists this non-coding RNA (30 nucleotides) under Rattus norvegicus (Norway rat). The record is from RNAcentral. Lineage: Eukaryota; Metazoa; Chordata; Mammalia; Rodentia; Muridae.